GAGCGCAGUUCGGCAAUACAUAAUUAGAAGUGCUGUAAUUUUUUUUGCGAUUUUCGUUUAAAUUUGAUAUCAAAACGCUUAUUAAAAAAAAAAGUUAACCGAUAAUUUUGGAAAUUUUAUCACGUUUAGAUGAGUAUUAUUUUAUUACCAAGUUUCAAGUCUCUACGUGUAUUUAUAACCGAACUACAGCAAAAAACUCAUAUUUAA
Cinara cedri is the source of this 207-nucleotide non-coding RNA. The record is from the annotation of a GenBank genome assembly. NCBI's taxonomy places the organism in Eukaryota, Metazoa, Arthropoda, Insecta, Hemiptera, Aphididae.